Molecule: long non-coding RNA, 2583 nt
Organism: Mobula hypostoma (lesser devil ray)
Lineage: Eukaryota; Metazoa; Chordata; Chondrichthyes; Myliobatiformes; Myliobatidae
Exons: 3
Source: RefSeq, a predicted model, not a curated record
UGGGCCUGCAGCCUGUGCUCUGUAGACAGUGCUGUUUGUUUGCAAAGCUGUCCUUUUGACUUCAGACUGAUUAUUGCUUACAAUUUACAUUCAGAACUGAAAGCUGGUUCUUGUUUACAACUAGAAACUGAGCAAGGAAUAUAGGUUAGAAGUUAAACUUUGUCACAAACAAGUCUGGCAUUUGAAGUUCAUGCUGCUGUGCUGAAAAGCUGAAGUAAGCAGUAAGUCUUAUUGUUUAAGUCUAUUUGACUAGUUUCUAAGUGACUUUGAGUUGAGGCUGGAUUUGUGAAAGACCAUCAGGGCAUCUUGGAGUGGAGCAUCAGGAGGUGCUGCACACAGCUGAAUUGCCACUGUUGGAUGUUGAAGGGUACGUCCAGUGGACUGCAAUAUUUUGUUUUAUUUAUAUUCGUGCAAAGGAAUUGUUCUCGGAGUGUCUCGGCGUGCCAGUGACCACGGUGGAUCUAGAAUUGAACGAGGGAUCCGGAGAUUCACCACCCUUUUCAAGAAAAAACUUCUAUGUGCCUCAGUAUUAAAUGACCGAUCCUUUAUCAGGGGGACAAGGAGUUAAGUCUCCUUGUUUGAGACUUCCAUUGGGAAAACCAUUCCAAAAUCCACAUUGUCAAGCCUUUUCUGAAUUAUAUAUGUUUGAAUAAAGACACCACUCAUCCUUCUAGUUACUACAAGAGACACUGUUAAAAUAUAGACAACCAUCAUUAGUUUGAAUUGUUGACUGGGUAAUAGAUCUUGACAUCCCCAUCACUGUAGUCAGUGUGAAACACUCUGAAUGAUAUCAAGGAAUGACUGACAACAUUGGAUACAGCAAAGGCCAGCAGUCCAACAACAUCCAGAGUGUUGUGCUAAAGGCUUGUGCUUUUUAUGCUGCCUUAGUCAAGCUAUUCAAGCACAGCUGCACUGUGGGCAUUCAAGCCUGAGCUAUAGAAAAUUGCUCGAGCAUAGCCUAUUCACAAAUCCAAUGCACUUAAUUAACAACUAUUCUCAAUCAUUAAAAAAGUGAAAAAGGUGUUGUUGUCAAUGUUAUCAAAGGGUACUUGCCAAGCAAUCUACUCACCUAGGCUCAGUUUUUAUUCUACCACUUGGCUGUAGACCAGACAGGCUAGGUAUGGAAAAUGGAGCUGAAUUUCAGAGGUUAAUUGAGGCUGGUUACUAACUUUAAUAUCUAGGCAAUGUAUGUGGUAAAACAAUGUCCAGGGAACGCAAAGAAAGAUUCUCCAUUGGAUGUGGUCACAUUUAGAACAAUCAGAGAUGACUACGCUGUAAGGAGUUUAACCAUUUCAGUCCAGGGUACUGUUGUGGGGCAAACAUCUUCUUCUACUUCAUCAAGCUUCCUUUCAUCAUAAAAUCAGAUAUUAUAAUGAUUAUAAAAAGCACUACUCUAAAUGUUGAUCUAAGUAAUGGAACAAUGAAUGCCCAUUUUUGAUGCAAUUUUACCUGCUUUAUAAUUUAUGUUCAGAAGUCCUCAUUAUUCUCAAAAUUAUAUAAACAUUUAGUGGAAUUUCCAUUAGAAAUGACAAAAACAUGAUCCAUCAAUAGCACCAUGAUCUUGCUGAAUGAUAGAACAAGCCCCAAAGGGCUGUAUUGUCUUCUGUUCUCUUAAGUUCUUAUGAAAUUCCAAUAUUCUCACCACAAAUAUGCAGGGAGGUGAUAGGAGGUUAACAGCAGAAGAAAGUGACUUCCUAAUUCCAUUAGAACGCUCCUGAGUCAUAAUCCUUACUUCCUCUCUCUGCAAUUAACUUAUCAAAAGCCUAUGUUUCAUAAAUGUAUAUCAGGCAAGUUAUUAUACAGCCACUUGCCUGCACUCUGUUCUAAAUUUCUAAACAAUAGAAGAAAAAAUAACAUUUCCUUCUUUGUCUCCAAAAAUAAAUUAAAUUAAGGGAGUUUUCUAAUACGUAUUGAUCUUUAAAUCUUCGUUGCUAUUGGUUUUAUGUGUCAGACUUCAUUUUGCCUCUUCGUUGGCAUGUGAGCUACAAAUCACACAAGGAGUUGUGCUUAUAUUAACUCAGUGAUACCAGCAGAAAACAGGAUAUGUAAUUUUAUUUGUUAGAAGUCAUAACCAUAUCCUAAGCCUCUUCUUGUUGUCACCCUGUGUAUUGGUUUUACCUAUUUAUUUAUAUUGGAAUGCUGUGAGGCAUACAUCAUAUGAUUAUAUAUGUAUAUUUUACCUGUAGUUCUAUUGAGUGCACUAUUGCUAUUUUAUUUCAGUUCAGCAAAAUGGAUUUUAUAAAGAUAAUGGUGAGAAGGGCCCACUUUAAACCACACACCAAAAAUGCCCCCAGCAUAUUUUAAAUAGCUAAUUAUUUGCACAAUUAAACAAAACUGCUAUUUUCAGUAAUUUUUGUGAUAAUGUUUCCAUUAGCACAGUCAAUAAAGCAUCUGACCAAAUCAGCUGUUACAUGCAAUGAAUAUUAUACUGAACUGUCUGGUGUAAUUGGUGGGCAAAAGCAUCCUAUCCACUGUAAAAAUACACCACAUGAGUGGUAAGCAACACUUUCCUCUGGGCAGCAAUUGUUUGCAGACACAACAUUAUUUCAUUUGAGAUAUUUAUUGGGUAUCGAACUGUUUGGU